Molecule: ribosomal RNA, 345 nt
Filed under: Triticum aestivum (bread wheat)
Lineage: Eukaryota; Viridiplantae; Streptophyta; Magnoliopsida; Poales; Poaceae
Description: partial small subunit ribosomal RNA
Source: RNAcentral
AUGGGAGGGAAAGCUCCAAAAUCCGUGAUAACAAAUCAAGAUGCAGCUAUGAAAAAAGCAGUCCCUAAGUGUUUCCCUAGUUGCAAGCAUAGGAACUGCUUGUUCCACAUUCUAACAAAAGCACAAAACAAAGCUAGAAGAACAUUUGCAAGGAACCAACAUCUGAAUGCUCAGUUUCAUGACAUAAUCCUAAACUUGCAAAUAGUAGAGGAGUUCGAGCAACUCUGGCCCCAAAUGAUAGAGCAACACAACGUUCAACAUAUCAAAUACUUCAGGAUUAUGUGGAAAAACAGAAAGAGAUUUGUACCUUCCUACUUCAAGAGUCACUUCUUCCCAUUCAUCUAG